RNAcentral lists this ribosomal RNA (479 nucleotides) under uncultured organism. Its description in RNAcentral is "partial 16S ribosomal RNA". It matches the Rfam family "Bacterial small subunit ribosomal RNA", at positions 331 to 801 of the family's 1533-position model. The record is from RNAcentral.
GUACACUCCUACGGGAGGCAGCAGUAGGGAAUCUUCGGCAAUGGGGGCAACCCUGACCGAGCAACGCCGCGUGAGUGAAGAAGGUUUUCGGAUCGUAAAGCUCUGUUGUAAGUCAAGAACGAGUGUGAGAGUGGAAAGUUCACACUGUGACGGUAGCUUACCAGAAAGGGACGGCUAACUACGUGCCAGCAGCCGCGGUAAUACGUAGGUCCCGAGCGUUGUCCGGAUUUAUUGGGCGUAAAGCGAGCGCAGGCGGUUUGAUAAGUCUGAAGUUAAAGGCUGUGGCUCAACCAUAGUUCGCUUUGGAAACUGUCAAACUUGAGUGCAGAAGGGGAGAGUGGAAUUCCAUGUGUAGCGGUGAAAUGCGUAGAUAUAUGGAGGAACACCGGUGGCGAAAGCGGCUCUCUGGUCUGUAACUGACGCUGAGGCUCGAAAGCGUGGGGAGCGAACAGGAUUAGAUACCCCAGUAGUCCCAUGAU